Molecule: long non-coding RNA, 1314 nt
Organism: Brienomyrus brachyistius
Lineage: Eukaryota; Metazoa; Chordata; Actinopteri; Osteoglossiformes; Mormyridae
Exons: 3
Source: RefSeq, a predicted model, not a curated record
GCCACAACAGCUCUGAGCCACUGAGGCAGGCACUUCACCGGACCUCUGAAGGGGACCUCGGUCGGCACCACCAUCCUGGACCCACCCAGAUGCAGCUCAGCCCCAAUCGGUAUUCACAGCAAAUAAUACAGAACGAUAAAGCAAUUAUGUCUGACAGUAAAUCUCCUGUGGGAUCAGACCAGACAGGCUAACCUUCACUCCCCAUGCACAUCAAUGAGCUUUGGGCACCCAAGACCUCAUCGCCAAUUCACUUCCUUGGACCACCUCUGGUAUCACUGACCACAGCAUACUGGUAACACCCCACAAGCUCAGCAGAAACCAGCAUGUACAUGUAGCACUGCAAAGAGGUUCUCCUGAGUGGCCGCUGAUUCCAUUCUGCACAGAUGAGGUCAUUGGAAGAACCUUUAAUUAACAUAAUAAUACAAGGGAUUGGGGACUCUUCUUUUUGUCACAGUGGAUAGUCGGGCCAGUCUAAGCUCAGUGUAGGAAGGUUACAAAUGAAAAAUGCUGUCUUCUCCAUUUUUUAUUUUUUUUUGCAGAAUACAGGCAGCAGAAUUAUAUAUGAGGGCAAAAGGAGUUCUUGAUCUCAUCAUAGAGGUGGGAGACAUCUGUGGACCUCCUCCUAAGCUUUGAUGAUCCACUGUCACAGAUUUUUUUAUGGCAAUUCACUCCUAGAAGAAAACGUACCGGGUCUCUUUCUGUUAUUGUUGAAAGGCAACAGAAAAAGCAAGACAACAAAUUUCCAUUUUCGCCUGCUGUCUGUGUUUUUACAAAACAGUCCCGCGCGCUCCGGCUCUCUGUCUGUCUUAUUAUGAAACAGACCCACAUUCUCCUAUUUUCUGACAUUGUUAUAAAACAAAGCCACGUUCUCUUUCCUCUCUCUGUACUAUCAUGAGACAAACCCAUGUUCUUCUAGUGUAUUAGGCAUCGAUUAAAAUGGAUUACAAAGUUUAGUGCUUUUAAUAUUUCUUUAAUGUUUCCCAGUUUCAAGGAGUUAUUUUUUGCAUCCAAAAACACUUCAUUUGCAUCUUUCCUCAAAAUUUGUGAUGCAACUUGUACAGUUAUAUUUGCAUGAAUUGGCAAAACUGCAAGUUUUAUGAUUUUUUAAAACUAAUACCAGUGAAGAAAGACACAUGACUAAUUACUUUAUUUGUAUAGUUAAUUUUCUAUCACAUAACCAAUCCCAUUUCAGUUCUCAUUUUUAUUUCUUUUUUGAAUUCAAGAACCAAGGCUUGGUUUACUGAACUGGACGCCUUUACUGGUGAUUGUUGAGUGCAGCGCCAUCUACUGGUUAUUGGAAAUUUGUACACCAGU